Salmo salar (Atlantic salmon) is the source of this 467-nucleotide long non-coding RNA. RefSeq lists it as uncharacterized. The record is from RefSeq and is a predicted model, not a curated record. Lineage: Eukaryota; Metazoa; Chordata; Actinopteri; Salmoniformes; Salmonidae.
UGUGACCACCAUUUGCCUCAUGCAGUGCGACACAUAUCCUUCACAUAGAGUUAACCAGCCUGUUGAUUGUGGCGAAGUUGCUGGGAACUGGAACACACUGUCGUACACGAUGAUCGAGAGUAUCACAAACAUGCUCAAUGGGUGACAUUUCUGCCAACUCCCAGACAACUUUUCCAGACAACUCCCCUGAAGCCUGUGUGUGUCAUUGAGCAAAAAAACGACACAUUCGUGUUCGUGAGAACCUCUCCUUUCAAGUCUCUCCAGUGUGCAAAGCUGUCAUCAAGGCAAAAGGGGAUUUGGAAUAAGACGGUGGAGACGGAGUAGGCUACGAUUCUCAGCAGCAGAUAUUCGUUUUUUUCUUACAUUUAGUUAUGUUUAGGGCUGUUGGUAGGCCUAACAGUCAUCUCAGUCAUUUUUUAAAAUUAAACCUUGUAUUUUUCAAUAAAUAAUGUUAUUUUUUAAUCACA